RNAcentral lists this ribosomal RNA (494 nucleotides) under uncultured bacterium. RNAcentral describes it as "partial 16S ribosomal RNA". It matches the Rfam family "Bacterial small subunit ribosomal RNA", at positions 30 to 507 of the family's 1533-position model. The record is from RNAcentral.
AUUGAACGCUGGCGGCAUGCCUUACACAUGCAAGUCGAACGGCAGCGGGGAGGAGCUUGCUUCUCUGCCGGCGAGUGGCGAACGGGUGAGUAAUACAUCGGAACGUGUCGAGAAGAGGGGGAUAACCACCCGAAAGGGUGGCUAAUACCGCAUAAAUUCUGAGGAAGAAAGCUGGGGACCUAGGAAUAGGCCUAGCGCUUUUUGAGCGGCCGAUGUCGGAUUAGCUAGUUGGUGAGGUAAAGGCUCACCAAGGCGAAGAUCUGUAGCGGGUCUGAGAGGAUGAUCCGCCACACUGGGACUGAGACACGGCCCAGACUCCUACGGGAGGCAGCAGUGGGGAAUUUUGGACAAUGGGGGCAACCCUGAUCCAGCCAUGCCGCGUGUAUGAAGAAGGCCUUAGGGUUGUAAAGUACUUUUGUUAGGGAAGAAAAGUCAGCUGUGAAUAAUGGCUGAUACUGACGGUACCUAAAGAAUAAGCACCGGCUAACUACGUG